Molecule: ribosomal RNA, 621 nt
Filed under: Citrobacter freundii
Lineage: Bacteria; Pseudomonadati; Pseudomonadota; Gammaproteobacteria; Enterobacterales; Enterobacteriaceae
Description: bacterial SSU rRNA
Rfam family: Bacterial small subunit ribosomal RNA
Source: RNAcentral
GGGCGUAAGCGCACGCAGGCGGUCUGUCAAGUCGGAUGUGAAAUCCCCGGGCUCAACCUGGGAACUGCAUCCGAAACUGGCAGGCUAGAGUCUUGUAGAGGGGGGUAGAAUUCCAGGUGUAGCGGUGAAAUGCGUAGAGAUCUGGAGGAAUACCGGUGGCGAAGGCGGCCCCCUGGACAAAGACUGACGCUCAGGUGCGAAAGCGUGGGGAGCAAACAGGAUUAGAUACCCUGGUAGUCCACGCCGUAAACGAUGUCGACUUGGAGGUUGUGCCCUUGAGGCGUGGCUUCCGGAGCUAACGCGUUAAGUCGACCGCCUGGGGAGUACGGCCGCAAGGUUAAAACUCAAAUGAAUUGACGGGGGCCCGCACAAGCGGUGGAGCAUGUGGUUUAAUUCGAUGCAACGCGAAGAACCUUACCUACUCUUGACAUCCAGAGAACUUAGCAGAGAUGCUUUGGUGCCUUCGGGAACUCUGAGACAGGUGCUGCAUGGCUGUCGUCAGCUCGUGUUGUGAAAUGUUGGGUUAAGUCCCGCAACGAGCGCAACCCUUAUCCUUUGUUGCCAGCGAUUCGGUCGGGAACUCAAAGGAGACUGCCAGUGAUAAACUGGAGGAAGGUGGGG